This 253-nucleotide ribosomal RNA is filed under the name uncultured bacterium. RNAcentral describes it as "partial 16S ribosomal RNA". It matches the Rfam family "Bacterial small subunit ribosomal RNA", at positions 524 to 776 of the family's 1533-position model. The record is from RNAcentral.
UACAGAGGCCUCGAGCGUUGUUCGGAAUUACUGGGCGUAAAGGGAAUGUAGGUGGUGAUGUAAGUCAGAUGUGAAAGCCCUGGGCUUAACCCGGGAAGUGCAUUUGAUACUGCAUUGCUAGAGUGCGAGAGAGGAGAGCGGAAUUCCAGGUGUAGGGGUGAAAUCCGUAGAUAUCAGGAGGAACACCGGUGGCGAAGGCGCUCAUCUGGCCCAAUACUGACGCUGAAGCGCGAAAGCUAGGGGAGCAAACGGG